GACGAACCGUCCAAACGUUAUUCGGAAUCACUGGGCUUAAAGGGUGCGUAGGCGGCCCGGAAAGUUGGAUGUGAAAUCCCUCGGCUCAACCGAGGAACUGCAUUCAAAACUACCGGGCUUGAGGGAGAUAGAGGUGAGCGGAACUCAGGGUGGAGCGGUGGAAUGCGUUGAUAUCCUGGGGAACACCAGUUGCGAAGGCGGCUCACUGGGUCUCUUCUGACGCUGAGGCACGAAAGCUAGGGGAGCGAAGAGG
Molecule: ribosomal RNA, 253 nt
Filed under: uncultured prokaryote
Description: partial 16S ribosomal RNA
Rfam family: Bacterial small subunit ribosomal RNA
Source: RNAcentral